GUGAAGAGGCUCAAGUGGAGGCUCGGUUCGGUCUGUUUAGAGAUAGUGCUAGUCUUGAUGCAAGAUAAGUGCAUGAUUUGCAUGGAACAUACCAUAUGCUUGGAAAUCAAUUUGGAUGCACCCGAUGGAACUCCUUGAUGACGUGUGUCAUUUGGAAUCUCGCUUCGGUCCAUUUGGAGACAUUGUUAGUUUCGGUGCAAGAUAGGUGCACAGUUUGCACCUAAUGCACCAUAGUCUAAGAAACCAAUUUGGACGCAUUUGUUGGUACUCCUAGGUGAAGAGGCUCAAGUGGAUGCUAGGUUUGGUCUGUUUGGAGAUAGUGCUAAUCUUGAUGCAAGAUAGAUACAUGGUUUGCAUUGAACAUACGAUAUGCAU
RNAcentral lists this long non-coding RNA (375 nucleotides) under Sorghum bicolor (sorghum). Its description in RNAcentral is "long non-coding RNA (SBIC_LNC002902)". Lineage: Eukaryota; Viridiplantae; Streptophyta; Magnoliopsida; Poales; Poaceae. The record is from RNAcentral.